GACGAACGCUGGCGGCGUGCCUAACACAUGCAAGUCGAACGGAAAGACCCUGCUUUUGUGGGGUGCUCGAGUGGCGAACGGGUGAGUAACACGUGAGUAACCUGCCCUUGCCUUUGGGAUAACUUCAGGAAACUGGGGCUAAUACCGGAUAGGAGCUCCUGCUGCAUGGUGGGGGUUGGACAGUUUCGGCGGUUGGGGGUGGACUCGCGGCUUAUCAGCUUGUUGGUGGGGUAGUGGCUUACCAAGGCUUUGACGGGUAGCCGGCCUGAGCGGGUGACCGGCCACAUUGGGACUGAGAUACGGCCCAGACUCCUACGGGAGGCAGCAGUGGGGAAUAUUGCACAAUGGGCGGAAGCCUGAUGCAGCAACGCCGCGUGCGGGAUGACGGCCUUCGGGUUGUAAACCGCUUUCGCCUGUGACGAAGCGUGAGUGACGGUAAUGGGUAAAGAAGCACCGGCUAACUACGUG
This 468-nucleotide ribosomal RNA is filed under the name uncultured bacterium. RNAcentral describes it as "partial 16S ribosomal RNA". It matches the Rfam family "Bacterial small subunit ribosomal RNA", at positions 28 to 507 of the family's 1533-position model. The record is from RNAcentral.